GAGUUUGAUCGUGGCUCAGGACGAACGCUGGCGGCGUGCUUAACACAUGCAAGUCGAACGAGAAUCUACUGAAUGAGUUUUCGGACAAUGGAAGUAGAGGAAAGUGGCGGACGGGUGAGUAACGCGUGAGGAACCUGCCUUGAAGAGGGGGACAACAGUUGGAAACGACUGCUAAUACCGCAUGAUGCAUAAGGGUCGCAUGAUUCUUAUGCCAAAGAUUUAUCGCUUCAAGAUGGCCUCGCGUCUGAUUAGCUAGUUGGCGGGGUAACGGGCCCACCAAGGCGACGAUCAGUAGCCGGACUGAGAGGUUGAACGGCCACAUUGGGACUGAGAUACGGCCCAGACUCCUACGGGAGGCAGCAGUGGGGAAUAUUGGGCAAUGGGCGCAAGCCUGACCCAGCAACGCCGCGUGAAGGAAGAAGGCUUUCGGUAUGUAAACUUCUAUCAGCAGGAAGAAAAU
RNAcentral lists this ribosomal RNA (460 nucleotides) under uncultured microorganism. RNAcentral's name for it is "bacterial SSU rRNA". It matches the Rfam family "Bacterial small subunit ribosomal RNA", at positions 9 to 451 of the family's 1533-position model. The record is from RNAcentral.